CAUUAGCUCAGUUGGUAGAGCAUCUGACUUUUAAUCAGAGGGUCAGAGGUUCGAAUCCUCUAUG
RNAcentral lists this transfer RNA (64 nucleotides) under Staphylococcus pettenkoferi. Its description in RNAcentral is "tRNA-Lys". It matches the Rfam family "tRNA", at positions 5 to 66 of the family's 71-position model. From Rfam's summary of the family: Transfer RNA (tRNA) molecules are approximately 80 nucleotides in length. Their secondary structure includes four short double-helical elements and three loops (D, anti-codon, and T loops). Lineage: Bacteria; Bacillati; Bacillota; Bacilli; Caryophanales; Staphylococcaceae. The record is from RNAcentral.